GACGAACGCUGGCGGCGUGCUUAACACAUGCAAGUCGAACGGAAAGGCUCCAGCUUGCUGGCGUACUCGAGUGGCGAACGGGUGAGUAACACGUGGGUAAUCUGCCCUGCACUCUGGGAUAAGCCUGGGAAACUGGGUCUAAUACUGGAUAUGACCUUUCUCCUUAUGGGGUUUGGUGGAAAGUUUUUCGGUGUAGGAUGAGCCCGCGGCCUAUCAGCUUGUUGGUGGGGUGAUGGCCUACCAAGGCGACGACGGGUAGCCGGCCUGAGAGGGUGAUCGGCCACAUUGGGACUGAGAUACGGCCCAGACGCCUACGGGAGGCAGCAGUGGGGAAUAUUGCACAAUGGGCGGAAGCCUGAGGCAGCGACGCCGCGUGAGGGAUGACGGCCUUCGGGUUGUAAACCUCUUUCAGCAGGGACGAAGCGUAAGUGACGGUACCUGCAGAAGAAGCACCGGCUAACUACGUG
Molecule: ribosomal RNA, 467 nt
Filed under: uncultured bacterium
Lineage: Bacteria
Description: partial 16S ribosomal RNA
Rfam family: Bacterial small subunit ribosomal RNA
Source: RNAcentral